AUGAACGCUGGCGGCGUGCUUAACACAUGCACGUCGCACGGUGAAGGCGGAGCUUGCUCUGCUGGAUCAGUGGCGAACGGGUGAGUAACACGUGAGCAAUCUGCCCCUGACUCUGGGAUAAGCGCUGGAAACGGCGUCUAAUACUGGAUACGAGCUGCGAAGGCAUCUUCAGCAGCUGGAAAGAAUUUCGGUCAGGGAUGAGCUCGCGGCCUAUCAGCUUGUUGGUGAGGUAAUGGCUCACCAAGGCGUCGACGGGUAGCCGGCCUGAGAGGGUGACCGGCCACACUGGGACUGAGACACGGCCCAGACUCCUACGGGAGGCAGCAGUGGGGAAUAUUGCACAAUGGGCGAAAGCCUGAUGCAGCAACGCCGCGUGAGGGACGACGGCCUUCGGGUUGUAAACCUCUUUUAGCAGGGAAGAAGCGAAAGUGACGGUACCUGCAGAAAAAGCGCCGGCUAACUACGUG
Molecule: ribosomal RNA, 467 nt
Filed under: uncultured bacterium
Lineage: Bacteria
Description: partial 16S ribosomal RNA
Rfam family: Bacterial small subunit ribosomal RNA
Source: RNAcentral